GAUGAACGCUGGCGGCGUGCCUAAUACAUGCAAGUCGAGCGAACGGACGAGAAGCUUGCUUCUCUGAUGUUAGCGGCGGACGGGUGAGUAACACGUGGAUAACCUACCUAUAAGACUGGGAUAACUUCGGGAAACCGGAGCUAAUACCGGAUAAUAUUUUGAACCGCAUGGUUCAAAAGUGAAAGACGGUCUUGCUGUCACUUAUAGAUGGAUCCGCGCUGCAUUAGCUAGUUGGUAAGGUAACGGCUUACCAAGGCAACGAUGCAUAGCCGACCUGAGAGGGUGAUCGGCCACACUGGAACUGAGACACGGUCCAGACUCCGACGGGAGGCAGCAGUAGGGAAUCUUCCGCAAAGGGCGAAAGCCUGACGGAGCAACGCCGCGUGAGUGAUGAAGGUCUUCGGAUCGUAAAACUCUGUUAUUAGGGAAGAACAUAUGUGAAAGUAACUGUGCACAUCUUGACGGUACCUAAUCAGAAAGCCACGGCUAACUACGUG
Molecule: ribosomal RNA, 497 nt
Filed under: uncultured bacterium
Lineage: Bacteria
Description: partial 16S ribosomal RNA
Rfam family: Bacterial small subunit ribosomal RNA
Source: RNAcentral